GCAAAACGCGAAGAACCUUACCAACCCUUGACAUGGAGGGGACCGUUCCAGAGAUGGUUCUUUCACUUCGGUGACCCCUCACACAGGUGCUGCAUGGCUGUCGUCAGCUCGUGCCGUGAGAUGUUCGGUUAAGUCCGGCAACGAGCGCAACCCACACUUUCAGUUGCCAGCAUUCAGUUGGGCACUCUGAAAGAACUGCCGGUGAUAAGCCGGAGGAAGGUGUGGAUGACGUCAAGUCCUCAUGGCCCUUACGGGUUGGGCUACACACGUGCUACAAUGGCAGUGACAAUGGGCUAAUCCCAAAAAGCUGUCUCAGUUCGGAUUGGGGUCUGCAACUCGACCCCAUGAAGUCGGAAUCGCUAGUAAUCGCGUAACAGCAUGACGCGGUGAAUACGUUCCCGGGUCUUGUACACACCG
This 417-nucleotide ribosomal RNA is filed under the name uncultured bacterium. RNAcentral's name for it is "bacterial SSU rRNA". It matches the Rfam family "Bacterial small subunit ribosomal RNA", at positions 954 to 1392 of the family's 1533-position model. The record is from RNAcentral.